Long non-coding RNA from Musca vetustissima, 205 nucleotides. RefSeq lists it as uncharacterized. The record is from RefSeq and is a predicted model, not a curated record. Lineage: Eukaryota; Metazoa; Arthropoda; Insecta; Diptera; Muscidae. The transcript has 3 exons.
UUUCAACCUUGCAACCAUGAAGUUGCUAACUUUUCAAAAAUGGAGACAAUCGGAAAUCAUGAAUUUAAUGGAACAAAUGGUGGAUCCAAAAAUGAAUUACAAUUCCAUACCGGUUUGUGAGGAACAUGAUAACGGUGGCUAUGAUUUUCGCAUUCAGGUUAAUACCACCGAAAAUACGUCUCGUUAUGUUAUCUUCUCGCAGGAU